This 431-nucleotide ribosomal RNA is filed under the name uncultured eukaryote. RNAcentral describes it as "bacterial SSU rRNA". It matches the Rfam family "Eukaryotic small subunit ribosomal RNA", at positions 592 to 1018 of the family's 1831-position model. The record is from RNAcentral.
CAAGAGCGUAUAUUAAAGUUGUUGCAGUUAAAAGCUCGUAGUUGGAUUUCUGGUACAACGCGCCUGGCCCGCUUACGUGAGUGCCGGUGCGCGUUUGCCAUCCUUCUAGAAAACGUCUCUACUCGGGCAACUGAGCCGGAUUCGCGAUCUAGAUCGUUUACUUUGAAAAAUUAGAGUGUUUAAAGCAGGCUUUUGCUAUGAAUACAUUAGCAUGGAAUAAUAAUCUAGGACUUCGGUGCUAUUUUGUUUGGUUUUCUUGGAACUGAAGUAAUAGAUUGAUAGGGAGUAGUUGGGGGUUGGGCUAGUAUUGUAGCGGCCAGAGGUGGAAAUUACUUGGAUUCGCUCAAGACUAACUUAUGCGAAGCAUUCACCAAGGAUGUCUUCUUUAAUCAAGAACGAAAGUUGGGGGAUCGAAGACGAUCAGAUACCGU